GCCUGGGACAGUGGGAGGUGUCCCCAUGGCAGGGGUGACACUGGAUGGGAUUUAAGGUCUCUCCAACCCAAACCAUUCCAUGGAUCUGGGAUCUUUCUUGUCACCUCCCUUCAGGCAUUUCCCUUAGGUCACCCCAAAGCUUCUCCUGUGCAGGUGAACAAUCCCAGCUGUGCCAGCCUUUCCUCCCAGCAGAGCUGCUCCAUCCCUCUGCCUCCUCUGCACUUGCUCCAGCAGCUCUGUGUCCAUCUGCCACAAUGUGGUGCUUGCACACGAUGGAAGGAGUUCAGAUUCUUUUCUCUGUUUACUUUUUAAAAGCUGCAUAAUUGCACACAUCCAAUCUGCUUUAAAUGAGGACUAGGUUGCAAAAUCAAUACCACAUAAUGAGGAGAGUUAUUUCUUCUUCCUCUCCUUUGCAUCUGCAUAUGCAAAGCAGAUAAUUGCCUACUUUUCUUUUCCAUGGGCUCUGUGCCACAUUUAUUUUUCAGGGUGGAGCCACUCUGGAGCUGUGUCAGGAUGACAUAGAGGAGGAGACUGCUGUCUCCAGAAGUUUUUCCACAUUUGUUUCAGCAGACAGGAGAUGAGCAGUGAAUUUGCAGGGGAUCACGUGGAAAAGGAUGAGCUCUUGGGUUGAAACCAGCUGGGAUGUGCCUUAGGAAGGGAUUGAAUCCCUCCUUCCUCCCUUGGGUGAGGCUGCACAAAAGUGCUGAAUGAUCCCAGAUGGAAUAAAUUCAAUUGGUGCUACACAUGUGAAGUGCUCUGAAUGAGGAAUGCAGCAACUUCUUGAAAUACUCACUUGAGCUCUUCACUGUCUCAAACUGAGGAGCCAGAAUCUAAAGAACUUUCAAUUGCAGGAUGGAAGAGGUGACACAGGGAAUGCCAAGAUGAUUGAUGGCCUUUUCUCCUCACUCCUCAGCAAGGAGAAUGAACAAUGGCCCAUUGAGUAACCACGGAGAACAGAGAGAACACAGCAGAAUAUUUCAGUGAGUUGGGGUUUUUCCAGUCAGCCAGACCUGGCAGAAACCAACUGAGAGGAUGUGGAGGACUGCCUGAAUCCUAGAGGAAUCCACAAGGAAUCCCUUCCCACCCCUGGAAAAGGGAAGAGCAGGGACAGGUGCUGCACUCACCUGAGUAAAAAACCAGCCUGGGCAAUGUCAGAGGAGAAAACAGCCCCAACUUGAAUUCCUGGAAAUUUCUGGAAACAAAUAACAAAACAAAGUUUUCUUUUGUGCAUGGGAAAUAAUGAAAAGAUAAGUGGAGGCCAAGAAUGAUUUGCCAGGAACAAAUCCUGCCCAGCCAGGCUCAUUUCCUCCCCUGACAAGUAGCAGCUCUUAUGGACAAUAGAUACUGCAUAUCUUGACUGGAGUGAGGCUUUCAGCACAGCCUCCACUGAGGAACUAAAAUGAAACCAUUGUAAGCUGGACUCAGCUGUUUGAAACAUCAAAAACCCUCCAAGAGAGUUUGUUGUUGAUGUGGAAAAAAUAUAGAGAGUGUUUUUGCAGGUGCCUUGCCCGGAGUUUGUGCCCUUCCCUGUUUCCCUUGUGUUUUGGAGGAUGAAGGAUCAAGUGGGGAAGUUCUACCAGGAUUAACAUCUUGAUCCUUGAAGAAAUGGUGUGAAAACAGCAGGAUUCAGUGCAGGUGUAAAUUGAGAUUUAGAUAAGAAUAAACCCCCCGGUGGAAGGAGCCAACAAGGCAAAGAACCUGGACAAAAAGCCAUGGGGAUUUUGGAAGAGCUUAAGCUCCCUGGGAAUCAAAAACAGUGUGGGAGAGCAAGGAUUGUCCUGAAAUGUCUAAACAGGCUGGUUGGGAUGUGUGGAAUAAUUCCUGCACUCCCACUCAGCCCUGGGGAGGUGUGAAAGUGAAAAAUGAACGAUUCCCUUUGGUCACUGAACUCAGGAAACCCCAGUGUGCUCUCACAACUUCCUCACCAGGCCAAUUAGGGAAAGUCCUGAGAGCACAAAAAGGUGCUGAAAGUCUUGAAAAAAAAAGCUGACCCUGGAGGAAAAUCUCAAAGAAUUUGGUUUGGUUGUUUUUAUCUAGAGAAAAUAGGGCAGAGAAGAAACAUGAGAAGAGUCUUCAAAUAUGUAACAGGUAGAAGGCAGCAGGAAACUCUCAAUGCUUGGAGGGCAGCAGGGAGCUUAAACAAUAUCCAGAAUUGCAGUUUCUGCUGGAUUUAAGGAAAAACUUCCUAGCUGGGGAGUUAAGGAAGCCUUGGAGGACACUGAGGGUGUUAAAAGCAGGUGGAAAAAGCAUCACUGAUUAUUUGUAUGUUGGGGAACCCAUGAGGGAAGAAGCUUUGAGGCAAAUGUACCUGAAGAGCUGCAGAAAUGGUUUUGAAAGGCUCAGGUGACAUCUGGAGCUGGAGACAUCCCAAGGGUGCUGUCCAUGGGUGAAGCAUCACAGCUCCCAGGAAGUUCCUUCCAGCAACCUCAAAGCAGGAAAAGAAGAGAAAAAAUCAGCUCUAAGAUGCAAACAUUGAAAGGUUUCUGAGCCCCAGAUCAUUCCUUGAGGUCUUUUUAUCCCUUCAGUGAUUGUAAACAGACACAGAUGGUGCCAGAAUGACUGAAUUUCUGCUUCAGUGGUUUCCUGCCACAGGUGAGAAAAAGGAUGUUAAGCUUUGUUGGUGUCUUUUGCAAAAUAAAUAAAUAAAAAUGGAGAAAUAAAUAAAUAAAGGAAUGCAGGCAGAAUCCUGUGCAUUUCUGGCAAGAGGAGCCUGCAAUCCCAUCACCUGGGAGACAAGCAGGGACUGGCACUGCUGCUCUGCCAGGAGAAUGAGAGGUUUUGUCAGGGGCCUGAGGGAUGGAUCCCUCUGCAAACAUUCAGGAGGCAGCACUGCCACUGGUCACUGUCACUUGGUCUUGUCCUAGAGCCAAGGCAAGGAAAUGAGAAGCAGCAGAGGGACAAAGAGCUGGGAAGGGGCUGAGGGAGCUGGGAAGGGGCUCAGCCUGGAGAAAAGGAGGCUCAGGGGGGACCUUGUGGCUCUGCACAACUCCCUGACAGGAGAUCAAUCCAUCAAUUAUCAAUUUACAGAAAAUAAGGAGUUAAUACCCUCCUUAUCCCCUUGUCAGCCCAAAGAAUUGGUUUAUGUUUCCAGGGGUGACAAAUGUUAUCUGGAGGAAUUUCUUCGUGGGAAGGA
Molecule: long non-coding RNA, 3133 nt
Organism: Oenanthe melanoleuca
Lineage: Eukaryota; Metazoa; Chordata; Aves; Passeriformes; Muscicapidae
Exons: 3
Source: RefSeq, a predicted model, not a curated record